This 110-nucleotide long non-coding RNA is filed under the name Monodelphis domestica (gray short-tailed opossum). RNAcentral describes it as "lncRNA (ENSMODG00000044132.1)". Lineage: Eukaryota; Metazoa; Chordata; Mammalia; Didelphimorphia; Didelphidae. The record is from RNAcentral.
CCUUGAGUUGCUGUGCCCAACAGCAGCAGGGGGAGCUGCAGUGGAGCCAUGACUGAGACACAUGAGUGGGGCGACCUAUGACCUUGUUGAAUAGUAUUGAUUUGAUGGUA